CUUCCGUAGGGGAACCUGCGGAAGGAUCAUUACAGAAUGAAAAGUGCUUAACUGCAUUUUUUCUUACACAUGUGUUUUUCUUUUUUUGAAAACUUUGCUUUGGUAGGCCUUCUAUAUGGGGCCUGCCAGAGAUUAAACUCAACCAAAUUUUAUUUAAUGUCAACCGAUUAUUUAAUAGUCAAAACUUUCAACAACGGAUCUCUUGGUUCUCGCAUCGAUGAAGAACGCAGCGAAAUGCGAUAAGUAAUAUGAAUUGCAGAUAUUCGUGAAUCAUCGAAUCUUUGAACGCACAUUGCGCCCUUUGGUAUUCCAAAGGGCAUGCCUGUUUGAGCGUCAUUUCUCCCUCAAACCCUCGGGUUUGGUGUUGAGCGAUACGCUGGGUUUGCUUGAAAGAAAGGCGGAGUAUAAACUAAUGGAUAGGUUUUUUCCACUCAUUGGUACAAACUCCAAAACUUCUUCCAAAUUCGACCUCAAAUCAGGUAGGACUACCCGCUGAACUUAAGCAUAUCAAUAAGCGGAGGAA
Molecule: ribosomal RNA, 523 nt
Filed under: Lodderomyces parapsilosis
Lineage: Eukaryota; Fungi; Ascomycota; Pichiomycetes; Serinales; Debaryomycetaceae
Description: eukaryotic LSU rRNA
Rfam family: 5.8S ribosomal RNA (bases 183-336)
Source: RNAcentral